This 1975-nucleotide long non-coding RNA is filed under the name Zea mays. RNAcentral's name for it is "long non-coding RNA (ZMAY_LNC000331)". The record is from RNAcentral. Lineage: Eukaryota; Viridiplantae; Streptophyta; Magnoliopsida; Poales; Poaceae.
CUCUCUCUAGCCUUGGACGCCACCCGCUCUCAACUCCUCCACCCAUUUGCAGCCGCCACCCACCUCCCCUCCAUCAAACCCUAGCCGCCCCUCCUCAAGCCCUUCUCUCCAAGGUGCCAUUCCUUUCCCGCUCGGAUCUACGUCGCGUUGGUGCAAGUCUCCCGGUGGUUUUUGGUGGAGGGAAGAAGAAGGGAGGAAAGGGGGGAUUUAAGGUGAUUUUUGUGUUUGUAUCUUGUUUAAUUGUGCUGCAAUACAAUCAAUUAUAUGUUUAUCUAUGCGAAUCGGUAGAGGUGCUGUCCAGAAAUUUCGUAGGUGGGCGAACAACAGUAGUAGUAGCAGUUUCUGGGGAUUUUUCGUGGGAAAUUAGUGGUAAUAAAUAUGAGAAUCAUGUAGAGCUUUGUCAUACCUUUCCAACGGGUACUUAUGCGCUCGAUUCGGAAUUAUAUUUUAAAAGAUAUCGGUGUUUGAAUCUGGGUAUGUUGCUGUCCAAAAAAACAGAUUUCUGCAGGUGGGCGAACAGCAGUAGUAGUAGCCGUUUCUGGGAUUUUUCGUGGGAAAUUAGUGGUAAUCAAUAUGAGAAUCAUGUAGAGAUUUGUCAUACCUUUCCAACGGAUACUUAUGCGCUCGAUUCGGAAUUAUAUUUUAAAAGAUAUCGCUGUUUGAAUCUGGGUAUGUUGCUGUCCAAAAAAACAGAUUUCUGCAGGUGGGCGAACAGUAGUAGUAGUAGCAGUUUCUGGGGAUUUUUCGUGGGAAAUUAGUGGUAAUCAAUAUGAGAAUCAUGUAGAGAUUUGUCAUAUCUUUCCAAUGGGUACUUAUGCGCUCGAUUCAGAAUUAUAUUUUAAAUGAUAUCGCUGUUUGAAUCCGGGUAUGUCGCUGCCCAAAAGAAGAAAAAACAGAUUGCAGGGUUGACCUUUUGAACUGUUUUGGGCUAAUUAGAUGUUGAAAUUUAAUUAUAAAUUGUAUACAAAACUUGUGGGGAAUUUUAUGUAGAUGCCUUUGGAGUUUUUGUUUGUUACCACUGCUGUCAUAAUUUUAAAGUUAUGAAAUUGUUAAGCAGCGCCGCUGCAGUUUGGUGGGUGUUGGGAGAUUUGUUACCCGCUGCGGGGUUUGAGAUUGUGCGUAGGUGCGGCGUCGUUUAUGAGCGUUAUUAUGUGAAAUUGGUGCACUAAGUUGUGUGUCAAAAGCAGGUGGUGGACUUCCGGAUCGUACUUAGGGAUUUGCCCAAACUUCUAGUGAAGGCAAGUAAAACAGUAAUGGUUAUUCCGUCUGUCGAUUAAAGAGUCUUAUACUUGAUUAUGUUUGUGCCAUUUGUGUUCGUAUUCAUAUUACUAAUUGAGUACCAUCGUUUGAAGAUAUUCAUGUUUGUGGUUUGAUCAUGUUACCCAUGUGGUUUAUUAUGUGGAAUGGGUGGAAGUAUAUGUCUAGCGCAUUUUAUUUGGGAAGGACUCAUGUUGUUGACAUGCAUAAUGCAUUCAUCAUCCAUUGCAUGGAAGUUUCGUCGCGAUCUUAUGGUCCGACCGUACCGGUAUAAUGAGCAUCAUAUGUUGCCCGAGAAGGGGUAUGAUGCAGCUUCAUAACCUUAGAGGUAUGAAGGCAGAAGUCAUUACUGCAUCUGUAGCCAUGUGCAUUCAGGGGUGAAGUGUGGAACCUAUUAUGUGGAUGUGGAUAGUGUAGAUCUUUACCUUGUGCUUCAUCUUGUAACUAAGUAAUUGGUUACAUGUUUACUUGCUGCAAAUUACUAUUCAAGAAGGAAGUUGUGAACUAUGUGGUUGUUUAAUUACGGUUUGUUUACAUUGUUCAGUUGUUGUUUGCUCUUUUUACUUGCUGAGAUGUGCCAUCUCACUCUUGUAUUGUCUAAUGCAGGCACAUAAUCUUUCCUUUGGGAAAAGAAGGGAUGUAGUAGCACGACCACUACACCUUUAAAUAAAGGAACCAGUGCUUAAUAAUGAUGUUAAACAGGGAGGGUCUAAUCUGA